Molecule: unclassified non-coding RNA, 554 nt
Filed under: Hevea brasiliensis (rubber tree)
Lineage: Eukaryota; Viridiplantae; Streptophyta; Magnoliopsida; Malpighiales; Euphorbiaceae
Source: RNAcentral
GGGGAAGUGGUCUGUUACUUGUGGCAGGAAGGCUAUCCUUGAUACCAUGUGGCUGGAGACUUUGAUGGCUUUAAUUGGGGAACAAUUUGAUGAGGCCGAUGAGAUUUGUGGUGUGGUUGCAAGUGUGCGCCAAAGGCAGGAUAAACUUGCAUUGUGGACGAAGACAGCUACAAAUGAGGCUGCUCAGAUGAGCAUUGGCAAGAAGUGGAAAGAGAUCAUUGAUGUCACUGACAAGAUCACAUACAGUUUUCAUGAUGAUUCUAGAAGGGAAAGAUCUGCCAAAGGCCGAUAUAAUGUAUAAGCUCUCCUCAAUAGUUUUGCAGUACGGUUUUUGUUUUGCAUGAUCAGAAACGCCAUGAAGUUAAAAUGUAUUUCAAGGAAGAUUCCCUGAAUGGAUGUAUUUUAAUGCUUGUCUAAUUUUGCUACUUGACAAUUUUCUGCUUCUAUCAAUGUAUUGUAGCAUCUGGCAAUCUUUAUUGGAGAGACUAGAGACGCGCAGAUUGUUGUGCUGAAUACAUGUCAGAAGAAAAUGCCUCAUUCAUUUUCAAUACUUU